RNAcentral lists this ribosomal RNA (353 nucleotides) under uncultured bacterium. RNAcentral's name for it is "bacterial SSU rRNA". It matches the Rfam family "Bacterial small subunit ribosomal RNA", at positions 917 to 1271 of the family's 1533-position model. The record is from RNAcentral.
GGGCCCGCACAAGCGGUGGAGCAUGUGGUUUAAUUCGAUGCAUACGCGAGGAACCUUACCAGGGCUUAAAUGUAGUCUGACAGCUUUAGAGAUAGAGUUUUCUUCGGACAGAUUACAAGGUGCUGCAUGGUUGUCGUCAGCUCGUGCCGUGAGGUGUCAGGUUAAGUCCUAUAACGAGCGCAACCCCUGUCGUUAGUUGCCAGCAUGUCAUGAUGGGGACUCUAACGAGACUGCCGGUGCAAAACCGUGAGGAAGGUGGGGAUGACGUCAAAUCAUCACGGCCCUUACGUCCUGGCUACACACGUGCUACAAUGGUCGGUACAGAGGGAAGCUACCCCGCAAGGGGAUGCGGA